CUUCAGCUCAAAUUUGAAAUCUGGCUUCGGCCGGAGUAGUAAUUUGUAGAGGAAACUUUUGGUGAGGCACCUUCUGAGUCCCUUGGAACAGGGCGCCAUAGAGGGUGAGAGCCCCGUAUAGUCGGAUGCCGAUCCAAUGUAAAGUUCCUUCGACGAGUCGAGUAGUUUGGGAAUGCUGCUCAAAAUGGGAGGUAAAAUUCUACUAAAGCUAAAUAUAGGCCAGAGACCGAUAGCGCACAAGUAGAGUGAUCGAAAGAUGAAAAGCACUUUGAAAAGAGGGUUAAAUAGCACGUGAAAUUGUUGAAAGGGAUGCGUUUGUGACCAGACUUGCGCCGUUCCGAUCAUCCGGUGUUCACAGCGGUGCUCUCGGCCCGGCUCAGGCCAGCAUCGGAUUAGGUGGGGGGAUAAAGGUUCAGGGAACGUAGCUCCUCCGGGAGUGUUAUAGCCGUGGGCGUAAUGCCCUCGCUGGGACCGAGGUUCCCGCAUCUGCAUGGAUGCUGGCGUAAUGGUCAUCAACGACGGGUCUUGAAACACGGACCAAGGAGUCAAGGUUUUGCGCGAGUGUUUGGGUGUAAAACCCGCACGCGUAAUGAAAGUGAACGUAGGUGAGAGCUUCGGCGCAUCAUCGACCGAUCCUGAUGUAUUCGGAUGGAUUUGAGUAAGAGCGUUAAGCCUUGGACCCGAAAGAUGGUGAACUAUGCUUGGAUAGCGUGAAGCGAGAGGAAACUCUGGUGGAGGCUCGCAGCGGUUCUGACGUGCAAAUCGAACGUCAAAUCUGAGCAUGGGGGAUA
Molecule: ribosomal RNA, 791 nt
Filed under: Sordaria sp.
Lineage: Eukaryota; Fungi; Ascomycota; Sordariomycetes; Sordariales; Sordariaceae
Description: partial large subunit ribosomal RNA
Rfam family: Eukaryotic large subunit ribosomal RNA
Source: RNAcentral